UUUAAUUAGUACAGCCUGUAUUAGUAAUGUCAUCUAUUCUUUACAGGCUAUGCUAAUCUAUGC
MicroRNA precursor from Sander lucioperca (pikeperch), 63 nucleotides. NCBI's taxonomy places the organism in Eukaryota, Metazoa, Chordata, Actinopteri, Perciformes, Percidae. The record is from Ensembl.